RNAcentral lists this ribosomal RNA (546 nucleotides) under uncultured Glomus. RNAcentral's name for it is "SSU rRNA". It matches the Rfam family "Eukaryotic small subunit ribosomal RNA", at positions 548 to 1098 of the family's 1831-position model. Lineage: Eukaryota; Fungi; Glomeromycota; Glomeromycetes; Glomerales; Glomeraceae. The record is from RNAcentral.
UUGGAGGGCAAGUCUGGUGCCAGCAGCCGCGGUAAUUCCAGCUCCAAUAGCGUAUAUUAAAGUUGUUGCAGUUAAAAAGCUCGUAGUUGAAUUUCGGGAUUAGUACGUUGGUCGUGCCUUCGGUACGUACUGGUGUUACUGAUUCCUACCUUCUGACGAACCAUCAUGUCAUUAAUUUGGUGUGGUGGGGAAUCAGGACUGUUACUUUGAAAAAAUUAGAGUGUUUAAAGCAGGCUCGCGCUUGAAUACAUUAGCAUGGAAUAAUGAAAUAGGACGUUGACCCUAUUUUGUUGGUUUCUAGGAUUGACGUAAUGAUUAAUAGGGAUAGUUGGGGGCAUUAGUAUUCAAUUGUCAGAGGUGAAAUUCUUGGAUUUAUUGAAGACUAACUACUGCGUAAGCAUUUGCCAAGGAUGUUUUCAUUAAUCAAGAACGAAAGUUAGGGGAUCGAAGACGAUCAGAUACCGUCGUAGUCUUAACCAUAAACUAUGCCGACUAGGGAUCGGAUGAUGUUAUUUUUAAUGACUCAUUCGGCACCUUACGGGAAAC